RNAcentral lists this ribosomal RNA (435 nucleotides) under uncultured bacterium. Its description in RNAcentral is "partial 16S ribosomal RNA". It matches the Rfam family "Bacterial small subunit ribosomal RNA", at positions 29 to 507 of the family's 1533-position model. The record is from RNAcentral.
AACGAACGCUGGCGGCAGGCUUAACACAUGCAAGUCGAACGCGUGCAGCAAUGCACGAGUGGCGCACGGGUGAGUAACGCGUGGAUAUCUGCCUUUUGGUUCGGAAUAACCCCGGGAAACUGGGGCUAAUACCGGAUGGUUCCUACGGGAUAAAGAUUUAUCGCCAAAAGAUGAGUCCGCGUCCGAUUAGCUAGUUGGUGAGGUAAUGGCUCACCAAGGCGACGAUCGGUAGCUGGUCUGAGAGGACGAUCAGCCACACUGGGACUGAGACACGGCCCAGACUCCUACGGGAGGCAGCAGUGGGGAAUAUUGGACAAUGGGGGCAACCCUGAUCCAGCCAUGCCGCGUGAGUGAUGAAGGCCUUCGGGUUGUAAAGCUCUUUUGGCGGGGACGAUGAUGACGGUACCCGCAGAAUAAGCCCCGGCUAACUUCAUG